Mastomys coucha (southern multimammate mouse) is the source of this 962-nucleotide long non-coding RNA. RefSeq lists it as uncharacterized. The transcript has 4 exons. The record is from RefSeq and is a predicted model, not a curated record. NCBI's taxonomy places the organism in Eukaryota, Metazoa, Chordata, Mammalia, Rodentia, Muridae.
CAACCCACAUAAAGCACCCCGCCAUCCACCUCCCGACCCCACUCCAAAUCUCCCCACACACUUUCCCAGAGAUUCCCCUACACUCUUCUGCUUAACCUCUGUGCCCUACUCCAUCCAAAUAAUUGACAAAUGGUAGCUGAUCUUCCAAGAGUGACCGAGAUUGCUCGAGAGGACUGUGCAUGUUUGAGAGAAGAAGGCCAGAAACAGAGCUUGGAGGAGCCCCAGCAAUUCAAGGCAGUCUGAGGAGGAAGGGCAAUGAAGGGUACUGAGAGGCAUUAGGUCAGAGAAGCGGAGACUGCCCAGAGAGACCAGGCUACUGUGUGCUAGGCUGUGUGAUAAAUGGGGCACAAAGAUUAUCUUAUCUGCAAGUGGAAAUCAAGACAAGGAAGGGACAGCCUCGGGAAAGUAAGAUCCAAAUGCAACUUUGCUGGUGCCAGCGUGCUGCCCUCUUCUGGUGACUCAGACUGGGACAUCAUGCUUCAGAAGGAUUUGAGCUUCUGGAGCUUCACUAUCCUGGCUGUCUUUCGAGAAGUUACUCCGUUAUUGGACAUAGCACAGACUGGUCCAGACAUAGAUAUAAGUGCUUCUGUCUUCUCUCACAUUACAUGUGUGUCUUUGUGUUCCUGAUGAGUUGCGGGGGAGGUGAAUGUGUGUCAACUGUGUGUGUGGAGGUCAGAGGACGACAGCCUUUGGGAACCGCCUCUCUCCUUCCUCUCUAUGCAGGUUGCAGGUCACCAGGCUUUCAUGAUACCCACAAAGGCUAGAAGAAGACAUCAGGCUGCCUGAAACCGGAGUUACAGAGAGCUGUAAGCUGGCACGUGCUUGCUCGGAAUCAACUCUGGUCUUCUGAAAGAGUUGCCAGUGCUCUAAUCCAGUGACUCAUCUCUCCAUCCUCUACAUAAGUAACUUCUGAGCAUUUCACACUGUGUAGAAUAUAAUAAAUAUCUAGAACAGCAAGUGGA